AAAAAAUUGUUUUAAAUUCAGUGUGUCCUUGUAAAAUGGGUGUUAAUAAAAAUAAAAACCCUUUAAGUCCUUUAGUUUCUCUACUUUUUUUUUCUGCCAAGUGGGACAAAUAAAGUUGGUCGCUGUCCUUGGUCAUUGUCAUCGCUGUUGAUGCUCUAUCAGCCCAGGUCUCUUAAAGUUAAGAAUAUGCAUGUCUUAUCUCCUCUCUAUGAGAAAUUUGACCACUGCUCAUUUUUCUAAAGGGAGAUAUUAGAAAGGAAGAUCUCAGUACCUGACAGAUUAAUCCAUCCAAUGAUACAAGCAUUCAAGCUAGAUUUAUAUAAAUACAGUCGAAUCCAUUUAAUUGGACCACUGGGUAAUCAGACCAGCUGCUUAUUCAGACAGAAUCCUAAAGAACCCAAACAAAUCCUAUUGCAUAAGCCUAACAUUAUUCAUUUAUUUCGACCAAAAUUCCAUUUAAUCGGAUCAAAUAACAUGACAGCAAAUAAGAAAAAGUAGCCACAUCACCCACCAUAAGCAUUUGGUCAUGGAAAUGGAAGUGGACAUGCUGAUUAAAAGUGAAAAUGAUGACAAAUGUGGAACAUCAACAACUCGAAAAUUACAAAGAAUUUGUAUCCAUUAACAACAAGCUUCAAUGCUACAAGGAAAAUGAAGAUUACAAUGCUGCAAUUGUUGCUCAAAUUGCAGUGAAACACAUGAUAGCACAAGAAGACCAGGAAAGUGAUGAUGCCCCUAAACAGUUGGUGCAAGUGACACAGGAUGCCAGGAAAUGCACUGAAACUUUGCACCACUAUUUCAUGUAGAAAGGGAAAUGAAGGCAUUGCUGCAUUAGAUGUUAGUGGCAAUUUUGUUCAAGUGCAGUCAGAAUGCAUCAAAUCACACUGGAUAAGUUCUUCAAAUAUAGACUGGAAUUUGGGUAAGAGUGGGACAGUUCCCAGGGCCGUUCCUUUCUCACGCCAGCUGCGUACGUAAUAGCCUUGCAGCAUUGAACUGCUCACCCGCGGCCAUUGCAUGGCUGAUUUUCAAUGGCACUGGACCCUUAGCGGACUAAAACCCGUAUGGUCGUUGUACGAUUCCGUGUGUGGCUCGUUAUUCAUGGCAUUUCUGGCUACUCAAAAUGUUCUCUAACUCUGGCUCUAAUUCUUCUUUUUGUUGAGUACGAAUAGUACAUGCUAUGUAAAUUAUAUUUAACAUUUUUAAAAAAAAUGCAGAUGAGAUAUGAAGAUUAUACAACUCUGAUUAAAAAUGCAAAAGUUAACAUACGAAUUCCUUCAUCUAUCCCUGAUAUUUUUGUAUGUGUCUUAUUCCCGUGAAAUAAAUAUGCACAAGGCGGCAAAUCGUUUAGUGACCUUUCAUACCUGGAUAAAAAUAUAGAGCUUAGAGUUAGAAAAUUAGCUAUUUUCUUCCAUUAUUUGUUUUGCUUUUUUACUUAAACUUUUAAAAUUAAUAAAGUUUGUUUAAUCACUUUUAUCUUUAAACGCCUGCACCCAGCUGUCUAGAAUUAUUGUAAAAUAAAUUAUUAACCAUCAUACAAUUAUUACCAGUUGUUGUCGAAAAAAGAGACUAUUAAAGUUAAUUUGUCUGAAUUGAUGCAUCCAUGCAACCCAAUCAUGUAAAUGGGCUAUCUAUAUGAGGUUCUUUCCUUCACCAUUGGGAACAGAAUCCUUAUGCUGCACUUUCUCAGAUAUUCUUUUGAUUACCUGUGGAAAGUUUGGACAAGUCGUUUAAGCUGGCGUAAAAAGUUCUCAAAUGGAGAUCGAGUGUCAUGGAUCAGUCCGUGCCUCCAGUGUUUUUCAGACUUUUAACCCUUUUGUGACUCACGGACUAACAGUGGUAUGUUGAAUGUAUAUGGUUGAAUGGAUAAAAACAUAGGAAAGGGUUAACUGUGUUAAGUGCGGUACUGACCCGUUUUGGGAUUAACCUCGCCUAGACGAGGUUUUAAUCGUAUGGGCGGAUUUAACUGGAGCUAUUCUGGGUAAAGAAGAAUCGCCUGCCAGGACCAUUCCGUGAUCGACGUGAUUUUGGUUCAGCACCCAGCAGCACGUGCGUUAGGAGUCCGGCCGUGACGUCUUACCAACCAAGGGCCAUAACCCCUAAUAAUGGCACGUGACUUUUAGCCAAUGGUGUACGUGAUCGGAACUGCGCGCCAUUUGCAAAGUUAUGUUUCUACACUUUUCGCAACAGGAAUUAUAAUUAAGCGUCUUCAGCCGUCAAUUCCAAUACUGAUACAUGUGUUGGACUCUUCAAUAACAAUAGCUGGCUGCUGGCAUUUAAAGAUGAAAGUGGUCACAGGAUGUGCAACUGGCCA
Molecule: long non-coding RNA, 2308 nt
Organism: Pomacea canaliculata
Lineage: Eukaryota; Metazoa; Mollusca; Gastropoda; Architaenioglossa; Ampullariidae
Exons: 3
Source: RefSeq, a predicted model, not a curated record